Molecule: ribosomal RNA, 253 nt
Filed under: uncultured prokaryote
Description: partial 16S ribosomal RNA
Rfam family: Bacterial small subunit ribosomal RNA
Source: RNAcentral
UAUGGAGGGUGCAAGCGUUGUCCGGAUUUAUUGGGUUUAAAGGGUGCGUAGGCGGCCUUAUAAGUCAGUGGUGAAAACCUGCAGCUUAACUGUAGACGUGCCAUUGAUACUGUAGGGCUUGAGUACAGAUGAGGUAGGCGGAAUUGAAGGUGUAGCGGUGAAAUGCAUAGAUAUCUUCAAGAACACCGAUAGCGAAGGCAGCUUACUAAGGUGUAACUGACGCUGAGGCACGAAAGUGUGGGGAUCAAACAGG